RNAcentral lists this ribosomal RNA (465 nucleotides) under Vreelandella stevensii. RNAcentral describes it as "partial 16S ribosomal RNA". It matches the Rfam family "Bacterial small subunit ribosomal RNA", at positions 338 to 795 of the family's 1533-position model. The record is from RNAcentral. Lineage: Bacteria; Pseudomonadati; Pseudomonadota; Gammaproteobacteria; Oceanospirillales; Halomonadaceae.
CCUACGGGGGGCUGCAGUGGGGAAUAUUGGACAAUGGGCGAAAGCCUGAUCCAGCCAUGCCGCGUGUGUGAAGAAGGCCUUCGGGUUGUAAAGCACUUUCAGUGGGGAAGAAAGCCUUGGGGCUAAUACCCUCGAGGAAGGACAUCACCCACAGAAGAAGCACCGGCUAACUCCGUGCCAGCAGCCGCGGUAAUACGGAGGGUGCGAGCGUUAAUCGGAAUUACUGGGCGUAAAGCGCGCGUAGGCGGUCUGAUAAGCCGGUUGUGAAAGCCCCGGGCUCAACCUGGGAACGGCAUCCGGAACUGUCAGGCUAGAGAGCAGGAGAGGAAGGUAGAAUUCCCGGUGUAGCGGUGAAAUGCGUAGAGAUCGGGAGGAAUACCAGUGGCGAAGGCGGCCUACUGGACUGACACUGACGCUGAGGUGCGAAAGCGUGGGUAGCAAACAGGAUUAGAUACCCGAGUAGUC